This is a long non-coding RNA of Stegostoma tigrinum, 312 nucleotides long. RefSeq lists it as uncharacterized. Lineage: Eukaryota; Metazoa; Chordata; Chondrichthyes; Orectolobiformes; Stegostomatidae. The transcript has 3 exons. The record is from RefSeq and is a predicted model, not a curated record.
AUGACAGCUGACUGUAUUUAUAAUCUUGAACUAUUGUAUUUAAAUGAAAAUACAGGAAAUCCAGCCAGCACCGGAGAGUAAAAGUGUUCACCACACUCCACACCAUGUCAGGAUACCCAUAACUGCCAGAGCAUUUGCUCUCAGCUUUCACCCAUACCACUCUCAACUUACUUGAAAUCAGGAGCCAAGUAGAAUGGAGGAAGAGUUGGACAUUUCUCAUCAUACUAAUGAAGCUAUGUUCUUUUCUGAUGUUUGUUAACCUUACUGUUAGCAUCUCCAGUCAAAUCGCUGACAUUAUGGAUGGACAGGCAA